GUAGGGAAUCUUCCACAAUGGACGAAAGUCUGAUGGAGCAACGCCGCGUGAGUGAAGAAGGUUCUCGGAUCGUAAAACUCUGUUGUGAGGGAAGAACAAGUACCGGAGUAACUGCCGGUACCUUGACGGUACCUCAUUAGAAAGCCACGGCUAACUACGUGCCAGCAGCCGCGGUAAUACGUAGGUGGCAAGCGUUGUCCGGAAUCAUUGGGCGUAAAGCGCGCGCAGGCGGUCCCUUAAGUCUGAUGUGAAAGCCCACGGCUCAACCGUGGAGGGUCAUUGGAAACUGGGGGACUUGAGUGCAGAAGAGGAAAGCGGAAUUCCAAGUGUAGCGGUGAAAUGCGUAGAGAUUUGGAGGAACACCAGUGGCGAAGGCGGCUUUCUGGUCUGUAACUGACGCUGAGGCGCGAAAGCGUGGGGAGCAAACAGGAUUAGAUACCCGAGUAGUCC
RNAcentral lists this ribosomal RNA (450 nucleotides) under uncultured bacterium. RNAcentral's name for it is "partial 16S ribosomal RNA". It matches the Rfam family "Bacterial small subunit ribosomal RNA", at positions 354 to 796 of the family's 1533-position model. The record is from RNAcentral.